UGCCCCGUGGGGUAAUGGCAGCCCGAGGGAUUUUGGUUCCCUAGGUCGUGGUUCGAGUCCACGCGGGGCAG
RNAcentral lists this transfer RNA (71 nucleotides) under Actinomycetota bacterium. Its description in RNAcentral is "tRNA-Gln". It matches the Rfam family "tRNA". From Rfam's summary of the family: Transfer RNA (tRNA) molecules are approximately 80 nucleotides in length. Lineage: Bacteria; Bacillati; Actinomycetota. RNAcentral also lists the same sequence under 1 other name. The record is from RNAcentral.